CGGACGGGUGAGGAAUACAUCGGAAUCUACUCUGUCGUGGGGGAUAACGUAGGGAAACUUACGCUAAUACCGCAUACGACCUACGGGUGAAAGCAGGGGAUCUUCGGACCUUGCGCGAUUGAAUGAGCCGAUGUCGGAUUAGCUAGUUGGCGGGGUAAAGGCCCACCAAGGCGACGAUCCGUAGCUGGUCUGAGAGGAUGAUCAGCCACACUGGAACUGAGACACGGUCCAGACUCCUACGGGAGGCAGCAGCC
RNAcentral lists this ribosomal RNA (254 nucleotides) under uncultured Stenotrophomonas sp. RNAcentral describes it as "partial 16S ribosomal RNA". It matches the Rfam family "Bacterial small subunit ribosomal RNA", at positions 99 to 355 of the family's 1533-position model. Lineage: Bacteria; Pseudomonadati; Pseudomonadota; Gammaproteobacteria; Lysobacterales; Lysobacteraceae. The record is from RNAcentral.